This 2905-nucleotide ribosomal RNA is filed under the name Enterobacter asburiae. RNAcentral's name for it is "23S ribosomal RNA". It matches the Rfam family "Bacterial large subunit ribosomal RNA". The record is from RNAcentral. Lineage: Bacteria; Pseudomonadati; Pseudomonadota; Gammaproteobacteria; Enterobacterales; Enterobacteriaceae.
GGUUAAGCGACUAAGCGUACACGGUGGAUGCCCUGGCAGUCAGAGGCGAUGAAGGACGUGCUAAUCUGCGAAAAGCGCCGGCGAGGUGAUAUGAACCUUUGACCCGGCGAUGUCCGAAUGGGGAAACCCAGUGUGAUUCGUCACACUAUCGUUAACUGAAUACAUAGGUUAACGAGGCGAACCGGGGGAACUGAAACAUCUAAGUACCCCGAGGAAAAGAAAUCAACCGAGAUUCCCCCAGUAGCGGCGAGCGAACGGGGAGCAGCCCAGAGUCUGAAUCAGCUUGUGUGUUAGUGGAACGGUCUGGAAAGUCCGGCGAUACAGGGUGACAGCCCCGUACACGAAAGCACACUUGCUGUGAACUCGAAGAGUAGGGCGGGACACGUGGUAUCCUGUCUGAAUAUGGGGGGACCAUCCUCCAAGGCUAAAUACUCCUGACUGACCGAUAGUGAACCAGUACCGUGAGGGAAAGGCGAAAAGAACCCCGGCGAGGGGAGUGAAAAAGAACCUGAAACCGUGUACGUACAAGCAGUGGGAGCACCUUCGUGGUGUGACUGCGUACCUUUUGUAUAAUGGGUCAGCGACUUAUAUUCUGUAGCAAGGUUAACCGUAUAGGGGAGCCGAAGGGAAACCGAGUCUUAACUGGGCGUUAAGUUGCAGGGUAUAGACCCGAAACCCGGUGAUCUAGCCAUGGGCAGGUUGAAGGUUGGGUAACACUAACUGGAGGACCGAACCGACUAAUGUUGAAAAAUUAGCGGAUGACUUGUGGCUGGGGGUGAAAGGCCAAUCAAACCGGGAGAUAGCUGGUUCUCCCCGAAAGCUAUUUAGGUAGCGCCUCGUGAACUCAUCUUCGGGGGUAGAGCACUGUUUCGGCUAGGGGGCCAUCCCGGCUUACCAACCCGAUGCAAACUACGAAUACCGAAGAAUGUUAUCACGGGAGACACACGGCGGGUGCUAACGUCCGUCGUGAAGAGGGAAACAACCCAGACCGCCAGCUAAGGUCCCAAAGUCAUGGUUAAGUGGGAAACGAUGUGGGAAGGCACAGACAGCCAGGAUGUUGGCUUAGAAGCAGCCAUCAUUUAAAGAAAGCGUAAUAGCUCACUGGUCGAGUCGGCCUGCGCGGAAGAUGUAACGGGGCUAAACCAUGCACCGAAGCUGCGGCAGCGACACUAUGUGUUGUUGGGUAGGGGAGCGUUCUGUAAGCCGUUGAAGGUGUCCUGUGAGGGGUGCUGGAGGUAUCAGAAGUGCGAAUGCUGACAUAAGUAACGAUAAUGCGGGUGAAAAGCCCGCACGCCGGAAGACCAAGGGUUCCUGUCCAACGUUAAUCGGGGCAGGGUGAGUCGACCCCUAAGGCGAGGCCGAAAGGCGUAGUCGAUGGGAAACAGGUUAAUAUUCCUGUACUUGGUGUUACUGCGAAGGGGGGACGGAGAAGGCUAUGUUAGCCGGGCGACGGUUGUCCCGGUUUAAGCAUGUAGGCGGGAGUUUUAGGUAAAUCCGGAACUCUUUUAACGCUGAGGUGUGAUGACGAGGCACUACGGUGCUGAAGUAACAAAUGCCCUGCUUCCAGGAAAAGCCUCUAAGCAUCAGGUAACAUCAAAUCGUACCCCAAACCGACACAGGUGGUCAGGUAGAGAAUACCAAGGCGCUUGAGAGAACUCGGGUGAAGGAACUAGGCAAAAUGGUGCCGUAACUUCGGGAGAAGGCACGCUGAUGUGUAGGUGAAGCCCCUGCGGGUGGAGCUGAAAUCAGUCGAAGAUACCAGCUGGCUGCAACUGUUUAUUAAAAACACAGCACUGUGCAAACACGAAAGUGGACGUAUACGGUGUGACGCCUGCCCGGUGCCGGAAGGUUAAUUGAUGGGGUUAGCGGCAACGCGAAGCUCUUGAUCGAAGCCCCGGUAAACGGCGGCCGUAACUAUAACGGUCCUAAGGUAGCGAAAUUCCUUGUCGGGUAAGUUCCGACCUGCACGAAUGGCGUAAUGAUGGCCAGGCUGUCUCCACCCGAGACUCAGUGAAAUUGAACUCGCUGUGAAGAUGCAGUGUACCCGCGGCAAGACGGAAAGACCCCGUGAACCUUUACUAUAGCUUGACACUGAACACUGGUCCUUGAUGUGUAGGAUAGGUGGGAGGCUUUGAAGCGUGGACGCCAGUCUGCGUGGAGCCGCCCUUGAAAUACCACCCUUUAAUGGCUGGUGUUCUAACGUAGACCCGUAAUCCGGGUUGCGGACAGUGUCUGGUGGGUAGUUUGACUGGGGCGGUCUCCUCCCAAAGAGUAACGGAGGAGCACGAAGGUUAGCUAAUCCUGGUCGGACAUCAGGAGGUUAGUGCAAUGGCAUAAGCUAGCUUGACUGCGAGAGUGACGGCUCGAGCAGGUGCGAAAGCAGGUCAUAGUGAUCCGGUGGUUCUGAAUGGAAGGGCCAUCGCUCAACGGAUAAAAGGUACUCCGGGGAUAACAGGCUGAUACCGCCCAAGAGUUCAUAUCGACGGCGGUGUUUGGCACCUCGAUGUCGGCUCAUCACAUCCUGGGGCUGAAGUAGGUCCCAAGGGUAUGGCUGUUCGCCAUUUAAAGUGGUACGCGAGCUGGGUUUAGAACGUCGUGAGACAGUUCGGUCCCUAUCUGCCGUGGGCGCUGGAGAAUUGAGGGGGGCUGCUCCUAGUACGAGAGGACCGGAGUGGACGCAUCACUGGUGUUCGGGUUGUCAUGCCAAUGGCAUUGCCCGGUAGCUAAAUGCGGAAAAGAUAAGUGCUGAAAGCAUCUAAGCACGAAACUUGCCCCGAGAUGAGUUCUCCCUGACUCCUUGAGAGUCCUGAAGGAACGUUGAAGACUACGACGUUGAUAGGUCGGGUGUGUAAGCGCAGCGAUGCGUUGAGCUAACCGAUACUAAUGAACCGUGAGGCUUAACCUU